GGGCCUGUAGCUCAAUUGGCAGAGCGCUUCCAUGGCAUGGAAGAGGCAAGGAGUUCGAACCUCCUCAGGUCCA
Molecule: transfer RNA, 73 nt
Filed under: bacterium
Lineage: Bacteria
Description: tRNA-Ala
Rfam family: tRNA
About the family: Transfer RNA (tRNA) molecules are approximately 80 nucleotides in length. Their secondary structure includes four short double-helical elements and three loops (D, anti-codon, and T loops).
Source: RNAcentral